AUGAAGAGAUUGUAUAGGGAGUUGCAUUAUUACCAUCCUUUUCAACCUGUUGAUAAGAAUGAUGUGGCUGUUCACCAUACCUGGUUUGAACCAUUUGUGGGCAAGCUCUUUCUUGAUGGCCUAAAUCAGGAGUUUGAUCUCCGCCGCCAGCUAAUAUUCUCCAAAACUGAAUGGCUAAGCCUUGAUGAUAUCAUUUCCAGUGUGAUUGAGGAGGAGACCCGUCUUGCUCAACCCAAUGAGCAUGUUCAAGAAAAAUCAGAUGCAUGUGCAGCCCUAUCCAUACAAGCUCGUCGUGCUCCUAAGACCUUUGCUAAAAUAGAUAAAAGCAAACUAUUUUGCAACCACUGGAAAAGGCUUGGACACACAAAGGAUUCAUGCUUUGAGCUGCAUGGUUAUCCAACUUGGUGGGAAAAAGGAAAAUCUCAGCCAGAGAAGGUCAAGGAGCUCAUAAAAGACAGGCGAAUCUCACUACAUCCAAGAGGGAGCUACCGGUAG
This 495-nucleotide ribosomal RNA is filed under the name Triticum aestivum (bread wheat). RNAcentral describes it as "partial small subunit ribosomal RNA". The record is from RNAcentral. Lineage: Eukaryota; Viridiplantae; Streptophyta; Magnoliopsida; Poales; Poaceae.